This 1524-nucleotide long non-coding RNA is filed under the name Vigna radiata. RNAcentral describes it as "long non-coding RNA (VRAD_LNC017428)". The record is from RNAcentral. Lineage: Eukaryota; Viridiplantae; Streptophyta; Magnoliopsida; Fabales; Fabaceae.
AAAUUUUUAAAAGAUUCAAAAUUUUUAAAUGAAAAAUUAGAGGGACACAUAUCAAUAACUAAUCAAGUAUGUAUGGUAUGGAUAGAGUCCACGAAUAAGAUUAUUAGCCAACAUCAAGUAAAACAUUACAGCAAGUACUCACUGUAAUUUUUAGUAAAUGCUACUGUUAUGACUUUGGCAAGUAUACCAAGUCGUGCAAGUAGUAAAGCCGGUAAGACCGGAAAUCGUUUCCCUAGAGACUUCGAUAUUACUCAACACUCGUAUNAUUACUAACUAACUCAAGCUAAAGAAUGAUUUCAUUUUUUGAUUGGUAUUAUGCAAUGAAAGUAAAUUUUAUGCCUAAGUAAAAUUUGAACUAAUUGGGGCCAAAACUAGUGAAUAUGAAAAUGAUUGAUGACUAUGUGGAAUGAACAUGUUGGAGAAUGAUUUCAACUAAUUCCUUGCUAUGCAAAUGCACUACAACACCCUUCAUUAAUUACUUGUUCUUGCCAACUAGCUAAUUUACUAAAACCCAAUCCCUUGGUGAGUUAGCCUAGGUUCAUUUGUUAAAUCCCAAUCCCUUGGUAAUCCACCAAAUUCACCCGCAUUAAGAAAAGAAGUUAAUGACAACUAAAGGUCCUAGUUCUAUCCCUAGACACUAUUUCCCUUAGGUGUUUAGUCUAGUUCAAGUUUUACCCAAAGUUUCCCAACCUUAAGUAAACCCCACAAUCAAGCUAUGGUUGAUCAAGUCAUAACUAGCAUUAAGAGAAAGACAAAAACACCAACAAGCAAUGAAUGAAGCAUUUUUCAUUUAAACUCAAUUGCAUUUACAAGAAGUUCCUAGUUUACAUCACUCUCCAACAAUAAUGAACUUCCACUGUCCAAAACUAGCUCCCACUGUCCAAAACUAGCUCCAAGAGGCUCUGGAACGCUUCCCUAGGUCUCAGCCGCCAAGAAGAUCCUUGCUCUCAAAAACUGUGUGGCUUUUAUAGGGUAGGGUGCCACAUCAGACAUCUCACGCCCAGCGCCAUUAAAAUGGCGCCAAGAGGCUCCAAGAGGCUCUGGAACGCUUCCCUAGGUCUCAGCCGCCAAGAAGAUCCUUGCUCUCGAAAACUGUGUGGCUUUUAUAGGGUAGGGUGCCACAUCAGACAUCUCACGCCCAGCGCCAUUAAAAUGGCGCCCAGCGCGAAAUACCUCUGGAAACAGUGGAAUCUCACGCCCAACGUGAGGCAGUGGCGCUCAGCGUGAACAAACAGAGAAAACUGGCGCCCAACGUGACAAACUUGCGCCCAGCGUGAGAUCUUGCUGGAAACAGCCAGUUUUCACGCCCAGCGUGAGAAGGUUGGCGCCCAGCGCCAGUUUAGCUUCUUGGACUUCUUCUUUUGUGGUCCUCCCUUGGUUCUCCACUCUUAAACUUGAAUGCCUUUCCAAAGUACUCAAAGUUCCUACAAAAUUUUGAGGAAAAGAGAUGAAAACUCAAGUGUAUAAUCUAAUCUAAGUUUAUUCACAAAGAUGGAAAAGAAGAGGACCAAGCAUGUUUAAAGC